Molecule: RNA transcript, 1152 nt
Organism: Trichomycterus rosablanca
Lineage: Eukaryota; Metazoa; Chordata; Actinopteri; Siluriformes; Trichomycteridae
Gene: imp3
Gene name: IMP U3 small nucleolar ribonucleoprotein 3
Exons: 7
Source: RefSeq, a predicted model, not a curated record
GUGAAAAACGUGAGCAUGGUAACAGUAUAGUAAGGUUUCUUCAACAGCUUACAGACUUUAAAUAGUAAAAAUGGUUCGCAAAUUAAAGUUUCACGAGCAGAAGCUGUUAAAGAAAGUCGAUUUUAUUAACUGGGAGGUUGAUAAUAAUCUACAUGAAGUGAAAGUGCUGAGAAAAUUCCACAUUGAGAAGAGAGAGGACUACACCAAAUAUAACAAACUGAGCCGGAGCAUCAGAGAGCUGGCGCAGAAGAUCCGUGACCUGGACGAGAAGGACGGCUUCAGAGCUCAGAGCACCACGCAGCUGCUGGACAAACUUUACGGCAUCGGCUUAAUCCCCACCAAACAGAAUCUGGCCCUCGCUAAUCAAGUCAGCGCCUCGUCCUUCUGCAGGAGGCGGCUGCCGUGGAUCAUGCUGAAGCUGCGCAUGGCUCAGAACCUCAAGAACGCCAUCAUGUUCAUCGAACAGGGACAUAUUCGUGUCGGGCCGGAGAUCAUCACAGAUCCUGCAUUUCUUGUCACAAGGAACAUGGAAGACUUUGUGACCUGGGUGGACUCGUCCAAGAUCAAACAGCACGUCAUGAAUUACAAAGAGGAGGUAGGACACACUUAGCCUAAAGUCCGUAGACACACAAACAUCACAUAUAAAAUCCUGGGCAUCAAUAAGAACAUCAUUUGCUAUAUAAUACAUGAUAUACCCCCAACAUAAAGUGGAGACUGUUAUAGCCACAAGGAGGCCAGUGGCUUUGAAACUGGAUGUGGUCGAUUGUGGACACAGAGAACUGACGCUGAUCCACUGAGGAAUCCGGCUCUAAUUUAGUGCCACGCUGCUUUAUUAGUCCCCCCUCCUUCCCAGAGGGUUCAGCUUUCCAUACUGGAAGAGUGAGUGGAAAUAGUAGCUGAACUUGAGCCUCAGCGUGACGAUUUUGAUCUCGUGGUUUAAAGCAGUUGAUGGAUUCAUACACUCAGACGAACGAGAUAUAAGAUGAACAAAUACGAGAUAAACACAUUUUUAGAUUAAUAAUAGAUAAAACAGCUCCUAACAUUAGGAACAUUUCUGAUAGAGAAUGAGUGGAUAUCCCAUGAAUUGUUGUAUUUAUUUGAUUAUUUUUUUCAUGAUUGUGUGUUUUUUAAUAAAAAAACAUUGUUACCACA